Rhipicephalus sanguineus (brown dog tick) is the source of this 806-nucleotide long non-coding RNA. RefSeq lists it as uncharacterized. Lineage: Eukaryota; Metazoa; Arthropoda; Arachnida; Ixodida; Ixodidae. The record is from RefSeq and is a predicted model, not a curated record. The transcript has 3 exons.
CAAAUAUAUAAGAUAGCGCAUUUCCUUCUUGCAGCGUUAGCACUCGUGUUUGAGCUAUUUGUAGCAACGUACACACGAUUUUUCUGUUCAUAUGUCGAUACCGAAACUGAAACUGAGGUGGUGGUGGCGCUAGUGUCGCCAACAUCGCCCUGUCGCUUUUUUUUUUUUCUUCGCAGACAUGGCGGCGUCCUGCAUUUCGUGUGUGCGUCGUAGUGUCGAGUUUUGUUCAUGCGGUCGACCUUUACUGCGUUACCUCGCAUUGUGUGUUCUGUGUUGCGGUUACUGAUGUAAGCGCAAGUUCUUCACUGAGUAUGAUCCGCGGCACCGUGCAAAUAGUCACCAGAUGCCGGCCGUGCGACUCCGUUCUCUGCGACUUCCUUUGUUCGGUGUGAUGGAGGGACGUGAUUCAUAGCUUUGGAGACCCUCUUUGCACCGUGCCCUCUUCAAACGUUUCCACGCAUCAGUGAGUAACAGCACCGCAAUCUUUACUCGACGGCACGCUCUGUGGGCCCAGAAAAUGCCUUGACGUUCGAGCAGUUCGGGAGCUAUACCGGCGGACAGCCGGAUGCGGGUAGCUUGGCCGUUCCUUGCUCUGCGCAUCGCUUGAAAACCGGCGGUCAUCCUGCAGUGUACGCUGCCAGCGUGCUUUCUUGCCAGAGCCACCUCCCCUGCUGGUGAUGACCAUAUGCAGCCAAUGCUGAUGUGAACCCGAGUGAUGAACAAAUGCAGAUCUGCAAAGGAGCUGUCCUGAGGCACCAUGCUUACUCAAGUCAUGCAGCGAGAGUCAGGUAAGUGUUAUGUUUCAC